Molecule: ribosomal RNA, 1357 nt
Filed under: Saula japonica
Lineage: Eukaryota; Metazoa; Arthropoda; Insecta; Coleoptera; Endomychidae
Description: SSU rRNA
Rfam family: Eukaryotic small subunit ribosomal RNA
Source: RNAcentral
UACCUGGUUGAUCCUGCCAGUAGUCAUAUGCUUGUCUCAAAGAUUAAGCCAUGCAUGUCUCAGUACAAGCUACAUUAAAGUGAAACCGCGAAAGGCUCAUUAAAUCAGUUAUGGUUCCUUAGAUCGUACCCACAUUUACUUGGAUAACUGUGGUAAUUCUAGAGCUAAUACAUGCCAACAGAGCUCCGACCGGAAACGGAAGGAGCGCUUUUAUUAGAUCAAAACCAAUCGGUGGCGGGUUCGCUCGUCAUCGUACAAUUUGGUGACUCUGAAUAACUUUACGCUGAUCGCACGGUCUAGCACCGGCGACGCAUCUUUCAAAUGUCUGCCUUAUCAACUGUCGAUGGUAGGUUCUGCGCCUACCAUGGUUGUAACGGGUAACGGGGAAUCAGGGUUCGAUUCCGGAGAGGGAGCCUGAGAAACGGCUACCACAUCCAAGGAAGGCAGCAGGCGCGCAAAUUACCCACUCCCGGCACGGGGAGGUAGUGACGAAAAAUAACGAUACGGGACUCAUCCGAGGCCCCGUAAUCGGAAUGAGUACACUCUAAACCCUUUAACGAGGAUCAAUUGGAGGGCAAGUCUGGUGCCAGCAGCCGCGGUAAUUCCAGCUCCAAUAGCGUAUAUUAAAGUUGUUGCGGUUAAAAAGCUCGUAGUCGAAUCUGUGUCCCGCGCCGCCGGUUCAUCGUUCGCGGUGUCAACUGGCGUGCCGCGGGACGUCCUGCCGGUGGGCUUAGCUCGCAAGAGCGGCCCAACUCAAUCCCGCCGCGGUGCUCUUUACUGAGUGUCGAGGUGGGCCGGCACGUUUACUUUGAACAAAUUAGAGUGCUUAAAGCAGGCCAAAAUUUCGCCUGAAUACUGUGUGCAUGGAAUAAUGGAAUAGGACCUCGGUUCUAUUUUGUUGGUUUUCGGAACCCCGAGGUAAUGAUUAAUAGGAACGGAUGGGGGCAUUCGUAUUGCGACGUUAGAGGUGAAAUUCUUGGAUCGUCGCAAGACGGACUUAAGCGAAAGCAUUUGCCAAAAACGUUUUCAUUGAUCAAGAACGAAAGUUAGAGGUUCGAAGGCGAUCAGAUACCGCCCUAGUUCUAACCAUAAACGAUGCCAGCUAGCGAUCCGCCGACGUUCCUCCGAUGACUCGGCGGGCAGCUUCCGGGAAACCAAAGCUUUUGGGUUCCGGGGGAAGUAUGGUUGCAAAGCUGAAACUUAAAGGAAUUGACGGAAGGGCACCACCAGGAGUGGAGCCUGCGGCUUAAUUUGACUCAACACGGGAAACCUCACCAGGCCCGGACACCGGAAGGAUUGACAGAUUGAGAGCUCUUUCUUGAUUCGGUGGGUGGUGGUGCAUGGCCGUUCUUAGUUG